GACGAACGCUGGCGGCGUGCUUAACACAUGCAAGUCGAACGGAAAGGCCCUGCUUUUGUGGGGUGCUCGAGUGGCGAACGGGUGAGUAACACGUGAGUAACCUGCCCUUGACUUUGGGAUAACUUCAGGAAACUGGGGCUAAUACCGGAUAGGAGCUCCUGCUGCAUGGUGGGGGUUGGAAAGUUUCGGCGGUUGGGGAUGGACUCGCGGCUUAUCAGCUUGUUGGGGGGGUAGUGGCUUACCAAGGCUUUGACGGGUAGCCGGCCUGAGAGGGUGACCGGCCACAUUAGGACUGAGAUACGGCCCAGACUCCUACGGGAGGCAGCAGUGGGGAAUAUUGCACAAUGGGCGGAAGCCUGAUGCAGCAACGCCGCGUGCGGGAUGACGGCCUUCGGGUUGUAAACCGCUUUCGCCUGUGACGAAGAGUGAGUGACGGUAAUGGGUAAAGAAGCACCGGCUAACUACGUG
This 468-nucleotide ribosomal RNA is filed under the name uncultured bacterium. RNAcentral describes it as "partial 16S ribosomal RNA". It matches the Rfam family "Bacterial small subunit ribosomal RNA", at positions 28 to 507 of the family's 1533-position model. The record is from RNAcentral.